This 620-nucleotide small RNA is filed under the name Arabidopsis thaliana (thale cress). RNAcentral's name for it is "putative long intergenic non-coding RNA". The record is from RNAcentral. Lineage: Eukaryota; Viridiplantae; Streptophyta; Magnoliopsida; Brassicales; Brassicaceae.
AACUUAUCAUCAUCAUCUUUUUAUUUAGUCUCUCUUGUUCUCUGAAAACAUUUAUCGAAGGAUCAAUUAAACUUAACAAUCAUCUUCUUUCUCAAUUUCUUCUGAUACCUCAUCUCUAUCUUCUAAUUCUCAUCUUAAUUCUGCUAUUUCUUUGAUAAGUCUAUUUCGUGCUUAUCAAGAUUCAUGUUUUGGAUACAGUACUUCAUCCACAAAUAAAAGGAACGCUGAUAAAUCUGGUUUUAUGGUUCCGAGUCACUAGAGAGGGUCUGGAUUUAUUGGGACUACUAAUAACUUGGAAAGGAUUGGUGGGAAUGGAACGGUGAGGCUGAAUCAAAGGAUUUAAUUUGUUGGGGGCUUGGAGCUUGGUAACUGAUUCUUCAAUUUAAGUUUGGGUAUAGUGAGUAGACUUCAACUAAAAUGCUUUUGCGAAAAGAAUUUGGGAUUGAUUCGCAUAUUUAAUAAUGAUAUGUAAACAUUGGAAGUUCGGGACUUAGUAGUGAGAUUCCUUCAUCAUUUAAUAAUUUUGUGAACUUAGAAGAAUUUUGGGCACUUGUUUAUUGCCCUUGAGUUAAGGUUUUUUUUUCUAAAUUAAGCAAAAAUAAGUCACUUAACAAGAGAAC